AUCCGACUGAUGAGUCCCAAGUAGGACGAAACGCGCGUCCCGGAU
Molecule: non-coding RNA, 45 nt
Filed under: Schistosoma margrebowiei
Lineage: Eukaryota; Metazoa; Platyhelminthes; Trematoda; Strigeidida; Schistosomatidae
Source: RNAcentral